RNAcentral lists this transfer RNA (75 nucleotides) under Deferrisoma palaeochoriense. RNAcentral's name for it is "tRNA-Gln". It matches the Rfam family "tRNA". Rfam says of the family: Transfer RNA (tRNA) molecules are approximately 80 nucleotides in length. Their secondary structure includes four short double-helical elements and three loops (D, anti-codon, and T loops). Lineage: Bacteria; Pseudomonadati; Thermodesulfobacteriota; Deferrisomatia; Deferrisomatales; Deferrisomataceae. RNAcentral also lists the same sequence under 2 other names. The record is from RNAcentral.
UGGGGCGUCGCCAAGCGGUAAGGCACCGGAUUUUGAUUCCGGCAUUCGCAGGUUCGAAUCCUGCCGCCCCAGCCA